CCUACGGGUGGCAGCAGUGGGGAAUAUUGCACAAUGGGCGAAAGCCUGAUGCAGCGACGCCGCGUGAGUGAAGAAGUAUUUCGGUACGUAAAACUCUAUCAGCAGGGAAGAAAAUGACGGUACCUGACUAAGAAGCCCCGGCUAACUACGUGCCAGCAGCCGCGGUAAUACGUAGGGGGCAAGCGUUAUCCGGAUUUACUGGGUGUAAAGGGAGCGUAGACGGCAGCGCAAGUCUGAAGUGAAAUCCCAUGGCUUAACCAUGGAAGUGCUGUGGAUACUGUACAGCUGGAGUGCAGUAGAGGUAAGCGGAAUUCCUAGUGUAGCGGUGAAAUGCGUAGAUAUCUGGAGGAACAUCAGUGGCGAAGGCGACUAUCUG
RNAcentral lists this ribosomal RNA (376 nucleotides) under uncultured bacterium. RNAcentral's name for it is "partial 16S ribosomal RNA". It matches the Rfam family "Bacterial small subunit ribosomal RNA", at positions 338 to 731 of the family's 1533-position model. The record is from RNAcentral.